AGCGUCCGACUUCAGCUCAGGUCAUGAUCUCACGGUUUGUGGGUUCGAGCCCCACGUCGGGCUCUGUGCUAACAGCUCAGAGCCUGGAGCCUGUCCCGGAUUCUGUCUUCCUUUCUCUCUGCCCCUCCCCCAUUCACACUCUGUCUCUGUCUUUCUCAAAAAUAAACAAACAUUAAAAAAAUAAUAAUAAAAUAAAAAGAAAGGCACAGACAUGGAAAAGGCUUACAAAACCAGUAAUCUAGUUUGACUUGAACCACAUUUUUUUUCUUUCUAUUGAUGAGAUAGUGCCAUCUAGUUUGGCCUUCUCAAUAACUUUAUAGGCACUUCCUGUCUGAGUGACCUUGGGCACAUUAGUAAGACUCUUUGAGCAUCAAAAAUGGAGAUGAUAACAGAAAUUCCUGAGGUUUGCUUUCAAGAUUCAAUGAGAAUAAAUGAGAAAAGAACUGAGUUCCUCACACAUCCACAAAAUUGCUCAAUAAAGACUGACACUAAAAAAAAAAAAAAAAAAAAUUAGUCCUCAAGGGGCCUGAGAAAGUGAUCCUGGAUUAGCCUCCAACCUUGGAAUUGGGAGGUUUAUAGGAGCCACAGUGCAUGUGACAUCUCUCAGCUAAACUCUGGAAACUUCACAUCCAUUUAAAGUAAGUAGCAUUUGAUGACUGAAGAAAAUGUGAGUUAAUGUAUCCUUUCUUCUUUUUUUUUUUUUUUUUCAUAAGCUCCAUGCCCAACAUGGGGCUGGAACUCAGGACCCCAAGAUCAAGAAUCACAUGUUCCACAGACUAGGGCAGCCAGGUGCCACUGCACUUUGAUUUUUAACACCUUCCAGACUUUUAGGAAAAUUGCUGUUUGGAAACAGAGCCUGGCUGUGGCCUGUGGGGGCACCAGGGAAGUUGUUGGCUGAGCUGAGGAUAAACACCGGCGAUUCUAUUCUCAGUGACUGACUUCAACAUUAAUGCCAAUGCUUAUGACCGGAAAUCAGAUGAUGCAACGCAAAGCAGGAGCAUCAGAUUUUCAGAUGACAUGGGGCUUCAGGUGACAGCCAAGCCACUGGUUUGCCAGCCUGGAUGGGUGCAGCCCUGAGAAGGGAGAGAGAGCACGAGUGGGUGAAGGACAGAGGGAGAGAGUGAGAAUCCUAACCAGACUCCAUGCUCCACGUGGAGCCUGACAUGGGGUUCGGUCACACGACCCUGGGAUCGUGACCUGAGCCUAAAUCAAGAGUUAUUCACUCAACCGACUGAGCCACCCAGGUGCCCCUAAAGGUUUUAUUUCCAAGUAUGCUCCACACCCAAUGUGGGGCUCGAACUCAAAACCCCAAGACUGAGAUCAAGAGUCACAUGCUCUACCGACUCAGCCAGCCAGAUGCCCCCAAAAGAUUGUGUUUUGAGACAAAUGUUUGUUUGCUCAGAAAAAGCAGAGAAGGGGUGGGGGUGGCAAGCCACAACAAAUCCUGCCAUUAAAGCAAAAUUAGUACAGGUCUUAAAUUCCAGAGGUUACAAAACAGCCUGGCUGAGGUCACUCAUGCCUAAUUAUUGUGCCUAAUAAUUACCUUGACUAAUUAGAGCAAAGGUUUUGGAGUGUGUUUCUAUUCCCAGACAUUGAGUCAUCAGUGACCCAGAAUAAAUCAUUUCGCUCUAUUUGUGUCCUGCAUCUUCCACAUGGAAGCACCCUCGGCCAACCCCUCAGGGAAAUUCCAAAGGCCCCAUUAAUUAAUAUUUGGAAAACAAUGCAAUGUGUAUAUGUCAGGCCUAUAGAAACAUGACGUCAAUAUAUUCUGUAUGUUGGGUUCAUUUAUUUAAUUAUUCAACUACUCUCCAGGGGCACAUACUAUUUAUUAAGCUCCUACACGGAGCCAGUCCCUGAGAUACGAAGUAGGAAUUCAAAGUGAACAAGACAGAUGGGCCCCUGUCCUCAUGAAGCUUAUAGUCGCAGAUGGUAAGUAAGUAAAGCAACAGAGAAAAUUAUUACAAACUGUUAAGUGCUAUGAGGAAAACAAACAGAUCUCUGCCAAAGGUACUAGUAGGAGAGGUGAUCACGGUCGCUUCUUGGAGGAGGUGGUCCGCAAGCUGAGACCUGAAGGAAAUAGGCGGCUGAAUCUAUAUGGAAGACCCGACAGGAGGGAAAACACAAUGGGCGGGCAAGGGUGGUGAGGCGCUCACGACCAGCAUAGACUUUCUGGGUUUGAAUCCUGCUCUGCCAUUGACUUACGGGAGGAUCUUGUGUGAGUUGUUCGCCAUUCCUCCACGCCUCAGUUUCUCCAUCUGUAGAGCGGGGAUAACAACACUUGUCUCGUGGGGCUGUCAUGGAGAGUCAGCGAAGGGGUAUUUGUGAAGCACUUGAAGCUUUGCCCUGCACGGAUCACACAUCACCGUGGACGUAAGGGUGUCGAUGCGACACAUCCCCUCGCUCCCCUGGCUGUCCUGCAGGCAGAUGGUUUCCUGUUCUCUCCCUGCUUCCGCCCUGCAGGACCUGCAUCCCUCCUGUCCACGUGGGGGCGCGCUCCGGCUCAGCCUGGAAACGCGGGGAGCUGAAGUUCCAACGUUACACGCAUCAGGUGUGGACAGCAGUUGGGGGUUGAGGCCUCAGUCUCUCCGCUCUGCACCCAGCCCCCUGACCUGUAGCCUGCAUGGUCCCUCAGGUGACUGCACCAGCCCCGGUUAAGCUGACCGCCAGCGGCACACGGCACAAACCUGCUGGGUUCCUCAAGAGAACCCUCUGCUGGUCCUUCUGCGAGCCCUGUCUCAUUGCACGCCCUCACAGAGCUUCCUGGAAUCACCUCCUGGGGCGGUGAUGAGACUCCAUUACCAGUGAGCUCAGGCAUCUUUUCAAGUGUUCAUAAGGACCAUUUCCGCAUCAUCUUCUGUGAGUGGAAUCUUCUAUGAGAGUCUGUGGAUAUUUAACGUGUCUUUCUCAGAGCAUCCUAAUUCCAUCCGGUAGUGGCCACUUGUGUUCUGUUUUAUCAGUCUCCUGUGAAGUCACAUUCACAGCCUUUGACCUAAAGGAAGCCAACAGGUGGACUCCUCCGGGCCAUGCUGAUUGAUUGAGGACAGGGCUCAUGACCCACGAAGGGUCAGCCAGAGAAAACAAGUCCCCAUUCCUUGAUGUCUUUUCAAGCUAUUGGACAGAGAAACUCUGCCUUCCUCUACAUUUGAUUCAGUGAAGUGGCCAUGUAACACCCAGAGGAGCCAGGAGAUGAAGCACCACAGAGAAGGCAAAGCUGACGAACGCAGAGAUUCUGAGUCCGGAUGGUAUUAUCUGAGCUGCUGGGUCCAGCCUCGUCCAGAGACAAACUACGCUUGAAUUCCCCGGUGGUGUAUAAAUGAAUACAUUCUCUGUUUCAAUUAUCCUUA
Molecule: long non-coding RNA, 3344 nt
Organism: Acinonyx jubatus (cheetah)
Lineage: Eukaryota; Metazoa; Chordata; Mammalia; Carnivora; Felidae
Exons: 5
Source: RefSeq, a predicted model, not a curated record